GAUGAACGCUGGCGGCGUGCUUAACACAUGCAAGUCGAACGAUUAAGACGGCUUCGGCCGUGUAUAGAGUGGCGAACGGGUGAGUAACACGUGACCAACCUGCCCCGCGCUCCGGGACAACCGCUGGAAACGGCGGCUAAUACCGGAUGCUCCGGGGAGGCCCCAUGGCCUCCCCGGGAAAGCCUUAACGGCGCGGGAUGGGGUCGCGGCCCAUUAGGUAGACGGCGGGGUAACGGCCCACCGUGCCCGCGAUGGGUAGCCGGACUGAGAGGUCGACCGGCCACAUUGGGACUGAGAUACGGCCCAGACUCCUACGGGAGGCAGCAGUGGGGAAUUUUGCGCAAUGGGGGAAACCCUGACGCAGCAACGCCGCGUGCGGGACGAAGGCCUUCGGGUUGUAAACCGCUUUCAGCAGGGAAGACAUAGACGGU
RNAcentral lists this ribosomal RNA (431 nucleotides) under uncultured bacterium. RNAcentral describes it as "bacterial SSU rRNA". It matches the Rfam family "Bacterial small subunit ribosomal RNA", at positions 28 to 458 of the family's 1533-position model. The record is from RNAcentral.